UACGUAGGGGGGCAAGCGUUAUCCGGAAUCAUUGGGCGUAAAGCGCGUGUAGGCGGUUCCGUAAGUCCGCUCUGAAAGCCCCAGGGCUCAACCCUUGGGAGGCGGGUGGAUACUACGGAACUGGAGUACGGAAGAGGAGAUUGGAAUUCCUGGUGUAGCGGUGAAAUGCGCAGAUAUCAGGAGGAACACCAGUGGCGAAGGCGGCUUACUGGUCCGGUACUGACGCUGAGGUGCGAAAGCGUGGGGAGCAAACAGG
RNAcentral lists this ribosomal RNA (256 nucleotides) under uncultured bacterium. Its description in RNAcentral is "partial 16S ribosomal RNA". It matches the Rfam family "Bacterial small subunit ribosomal RNA", at positions 524 to 776 of the family's 1533-position model. The record is from RNAcentral.